This 491-nucleotide ribosomal RNA is filed under the name uncultured bacterium. RNAcentral's name for it is "partial 16S ribosomal RNA". It matches the Rfam family "Bacterial small subunit ribosomal RNA", at positions 29 to 507 of the family's 1533-position model. The record is from RNAcentral.
UUGAACGCUGGCGGCAUGCUUUACACAUGCAAGUCGAACGGUAACAGGCCUUCGGGUGCUGACGAGUGGCGAACGGGUGAGUAAUGCAUCGGAACGUACCCAGGGGUGGGGGAUAACGCAGCGAAAGCUGUGCUAAUACCGCAUGUGAUCUGAGGAUGAAAGCGGGGGACCGAGCAGCAAUGUUUGGCCUCGCGCCUUUGGAGCGGCCGAUGUCGGAUUAGCUAGUUGGUGGGGUAAAGGCCUACCAAGGCGACGAUCCGUAGCUGGUCUGAGAGGACGACCAGCCACACUGGGACUGAGACACGGCCCAGACUCCUACGGGAGGCAGCAGUGGGGAAUUUUGGACAAUGGGCGCAAGCCUGAUCCAGCAAUGCCGCGUGCGGGAAGAAGGCCUUCGGGUUGUAAACCGCUUUUGGCAGGAACGAAACGGUGUCCGCUAAUACCGGGCGCUAAUGACGGUACCUGCAGAAUAAGCACCGGCUAACUACGUG